CCCCUAGAUGUUCUGGGCCGCACGCGCGCUACACUGAACAGUUCAACAAGUCUUAACCUUGGCCGAUAGGUCUGGGUAAUCUUUGAACGCUGUUCGUGAUUGGGAUAGACCUUUGCAAUUAUGGGUCUUCAACGAGGAAUUCCUAGUAAACGCAAGUCAUCAGCUUGCAUUGAUUACGUCCCUGCCCUUUGUACACACCGCCCGUCGCACCUACCGAUUGAAUGGUCCGGUGAAGCGUUCGGACCGUGGCCUUUGGACGGUUCGCCGUCUGUUGGCUGCGGGAAGUUCGUUAAACCUUAACAUUUAGAGGAAGGAGAANUCGUAACA
This 327-nucleotide ribosomal RNA is filed under the name uncultured eukaryote. RNAcentral describes it as "partial 18S ribosomal RNA". It matches the Rfam family "Eukaryotic small subunit ribosomal RNA", at positions 1470 to 1796 of the family's 1831-position model. The record is from RNAcentral.